UCCAAAGCCGCCCGAACGGUGCUGAUCAACUCGUCCCUAUCCAGCCUGCUCCUAUUCAUAAUGAGCUUUUACAGCCUGCCCGAGACUCUGCACCAUGAGAUUGCCAGGGUUCAGGGUCGCUUCUACUGGGCUGGUGAGGGAGACAAGCAGAAAUACCACAUGGUACAAUGGUCUGAAAUUUGUAAACCGCGUGAUCAGGGCGGGCUUGGGAUAAUGUGCUCCAAGCGGAUGAACAUUGCCCUCCUAACUCGAUGGCUUUGGCGGAUUACGAACGGCGAGGGUGGCCUGUGGCUCCGCAUCAUUCAGCGGAAAUACCUACGAGGCCAACCCCUCGCCUUUUGCCAGCGGUCAGGUGGCUCCCAGUUCUGGCAAUCUAUCAUACAGCUGCUUCCGGUCCUGCGCAUUGGAUCCUCGAUUACGGUUGGAUCUGGUACUGCCACGCUGUUUUGGUUUGAUCGCUGGGCUGGAGAUGCCCCCUUCGUGGCUCGUUUUCCAGACCUGUUCUCCAUCGCGGUAGACGCGCGCAUAUCGGUGGCUACGGCCCUUAUUGACUUAGGGCGUCUCGCAUUCCGGCGUCAGUUCGGCCCGGCAGAGACUGCGGCUUGGGAUGACCUGAUCGCAUGCAUUGCGCUUCACGAACCUAUGCUUGAGAAUGGUGAGGACCGCACUCGAUGGCGUCUAGAGCCAUCUGGGCUUUUCUCCACCACGUCGCUCUACAAGGCGAUAGCCCCCACUCCGGGUCCUGCGGCGCUUACUGUCAUCUGGGAGAUCCGGCUCCCUUUGAAAAUUAGGAUAUUCCUAUGA
RNAcentral lists this ribosomal RNA (804 nucleotides) under Triticum aestivum (bread wheat). Its description in RNAcentral is "partial small subunit ribosomal RNA". The record is from RNAcentral. Lineage: Eukaryota; Viridiplantae; Streptophyta; Magnoliopsida; Poales; Poaceae.